CUGGGGUAGCUGCAUGCAAGCCAGGUCAAGGCUUAAAGAAUUGUAUGGUAAUUCUAGUGAGGCUGGUUUAUACCAUUUACAGGCACUGGAUGAGAAAUCUGUACACCACAGCUAUUCAUAGCAUGGGUUUACCACCUUAGGUCUCAGUGAAGUUGGGGAGACAGUGGUGUUAGGUGAAUUGCACUUGGCGCAGGCAUUGAAACAUUCAGGGGCAUAAAACCAAGACAAAAAUAUCCCCAUCUAGCUGAAGGCAAUACACACAAUUUGGGAAAAGACAAACACUCUGGGAAACUAAUGGAGGCUGGUAGAAGGCAUGUUGCAAUGGUAAAGUGCAUGUUAUGCUUUCCUUAAAAAUCAGGUAUUUAUAUGCAAUUGUCCAAUUUGGACUUUUUAUUGAAAUUUGAACAUGUGUUUUGAGUACUUUCUUCUCCCAUCACGUAAGACAUCCCUUUUAAACACAGUAAUGUGUCUCAGCCUUAGGUGAAGCCAACUUUCUCACAUUUGGCUGAAAAUCAGAGGUGUGAGGAAACAGAUAUUUGGUUAGAUUAUGACAACCAUCUGUAAAACUGAGGACUCUGUGAAUUGAAGAUCAUGACAUAAGUAGGGGAAAGAAAACAGCUCCAUACGCAUUUUCUCUUCAUUUAAGAAAAUGAAGUCUAUACUACACUUCAGGCCACUGCAGGUGAACCAUGGAAGUCUGAAUUGAUUUAAAGGUAGCUCAGGAAAAUGAAUAUGGACUGUUGUAGUCACCCUUACCUGUUGUUUCAAAUUUUCCACCCAUUUUGAUAGAAAAAAAAAGGAAAAAGUCACAUAAAUUCAGCUCUUGCAGACAUAGUAUUUUAAUGGCACUCACCAGCUACAUUUCAAAAGCUGUGCAGGCUGGUAAUAUCUACACAAGGGCGCAAAAAAGUUUAAAACAGUCAUUAUAGUGCCAGGCUAAAGCUUCCUUUCCUGAGGGGUACAUAGGAUGGCCAGCAAAGCCCCCUCCCACCGAUAACUGGAGAAACACUGCUCUGCAUUUCCUCGUGAUUUUGUCUUCUGUUUUGUAUUACUGUGGUUAUGAUUAUUAUUUCCACGGUGCUCAGGCAGCCUAAGCAAGGAUGAAAAUCCUAUUCUGUACUUCCAUACAGGUAUUUGGAAAGACAAUGCUGGUUCCAGAGAACUCUUGUUGAAAAGAGAUUGUGUUUGGAAGAUGAGCAAGGUUGUUUUCAAUACUGGGAGCCAUGGUCUGUCUCCUGCUUCUGAAAAGUUGGCUCUCUGUAGAUGGAAGUGGAAAACAACAGCUGUGAAGGAGGGAAUUUGGAGCACAAAUGAACACCAGACCCAGCUGCAGAUUUGCAUUCUUUGACAUCUGGUGCUGAGUAGACACUGGGGAAUUCUGUGACAACAUGAGAUUUUAUGCAUCUGUCAGCUAAAUCUAGCAUUUCUCUUUGGGACAUUUGCAUGGAUGAGGUUGAUCUUAGAAAGCUUUUUUAAGCCAGAACAAAAUAAAGGAAGAGGAUUGUAUCUGA
Non-coding RNA from Phalacrocorax carbo (great cormorant), 1511 nucleotides. Lineage: Eukaryota; Metazoa; Chordata; Aves; Suliformes; Phalacrocoracidae. The record is from RefSeq and is a predicted model, not a curated record.